This 594-nucleotide long non-coding RNA is filed under the name Ananas comosus (pineapple). Its description in RNAcentral is "long non-coding RNA (ACOM_LNC013092)". The record is from RNAcentral. Lineage: Eukaryota; Viridiplantae; Streptophyta; Magnoliopsida; Poales; Bromeliaceae.
UGACACCCCAAUAGUCCCACAUCGGAUGGGAAUGGGGUUGUCAUUGGGUUUAUAAGAGACUUAGACACUAGUAAUAAUAACUGGGUUUAAGCAUUUUGGGCCGGUUGUUGGGCCCAACGAGUUAUUGUUGCUAGUGGGCUGGGUCGUUACAUUUGGUAUCAGAGCCGGUUCACCAGCUGGACAUGUGUGGCGGGUUUCGGCUGAGCCAGGGUCUGGAUGACGGGCUAACGAGACGAGUCUCACAUCGCCUGGUGAUCUUGGACUGUGUGUGUGAUUGGGCUGGGUCGUUACAUAUUAUCUUGGUAAUAAAAUAUGUAUUAUAUAUAAUAGUUAUAAAAGUGAGAGGGGUGAAAUGAGUAUUUUAGCCAUAUUUUUUUUGAAAUACAGGUAGUAUGGAUAAUUUUGAUAAUUUUACUAAAUUUGAAGAGUAUUUUUUAUAUUAACAAUUUUUGGAAGGUAUCAAUGUAAUUAGGGGUGGGUGAAAGAGUAUCUAUGAAAUUAAUCCUUUUUCAAUUUAUUUAUUUAAGACCUCUGUGAAUAAUGAUAUGAUAUUAAAUAAUAACUUUAAAAAUCAAAUCAAUAAACAAAUAAAAA